GCCGGGGUGCCCGAGCGGCUAAGGGGCAGGCCUCGAGAUCCGCUUGAAGUGGGCUGGACAGCCUGUGGGCGAAAGCCCGUGUGGGUUCGAAUCCCACCCCCGGCG
This 105-nucleotide transfer RNA is filed under the name uncultured archaeon. RNAcentral's name for it is "transfer RNA-Ser(CGA)". It matches the Rfam family "tRNA". Rfam says of the family: Transfer RNA (tRNA) molecules are approximately 80 nucleotides in length. The record is from RNAcentral.